UACGUAGGUGGCAAGCGUUGUCCGGAUUUACUGGGCGUAAAGAGCGCGCAGGCGGUCGUUCAAGUCGCGUGUGAAAGCCCCCGGCUCAACUGGGGAGGGUCACGCGAUACUGAUCAACUGGAAGGCAGGAGAGGGUAGUGGAAUUCCCGGUGUAGUGGUGAAAUGCGUAGAUAUCGGGAGGAACACCAGUGGCGAAGGCGGCCAUCUGGACCAGCACUGACACUGAGGCACGAAAGCGUGGGGAGCAAACAGG
Molecule: ribosomal RNA, 253 nt
Filed under: uncultured bacterium
Lineage: Bacteria
Description: partial 16S ribosomal RNA
Rfam family: Bacterial small subunit ribosomal RNA
Source: RNAcentral